Molecule: long non-coding RNA, 455 nt
Filed under: Salmo salar (Atlantic salmon)
Lineage: Eukaryota; Metazoa; Chordata; Actinopteri; Salmoniformes; Salmonidae
Description: lncRNA (ENSSSAG00000099858.1)
Source: RNAcentral
GAAAGAAAGAGAGAAAGAGAGAAUUAGAGAGAGCAUAUUUAAAUUCACACAGGACACCGGAUAAGACAAGAGAAAUACUCCAGAUGUAACAGACUGACCCUAGCCCCCCGACACUUAAACUACUGCAGCAUAAAUACUGGAGGCUGAGACAGGAGGGAUCAGAAGACACUGUGGCCCCAUCCGAUGAUACCCCCGGACAGGGCCAAACAGGCAGGAUAUAACCCCACCCACUUUGCCAAAGCACAGCCCCCACACCACUAGAGGGAUGUCUCCAACCACCAACUUACCGUCCUAAGACAAGGCCGAGUAUAGCCCACAACGAUCUCCGCCAUGGCACAACCCAAGGGGGGGCGCCAACCCAGACAGGAAGACCACGUCAGUGACUCAACCCACUCAAGUGACGCACCCCUCCCAUGGACGGCAUGGAAGAACACCAGUAAGCCAGUGACUCAGCC